This 254-nucleotide ribosomal RNA is filed under the name uncultured bacterium. RNAcentral describes it as "partial 16S ribosomal RNA". It matches the Rfam family "Bacterial small subunit ribosomal RNA", at positions 524 to 776 of the family's 1533-position model. The record is from RNAcentral.
UACGAAGGGGGCUAGCGUUGUUCGGAAUUACUGGGCGUAAAGGGCGCGUAGGCGGCGUGUCAAGUCAGGCGUGAAAGCCCCGGGCUCAACCUGGGAACCGCGCUUGAGACUGGCAUGCUCGAGUUCGGGAGAGGAUGGUGGAAUUCCCAGUGUAGAGGUGAAAUUCGUAGAUAUUGGGAAGAACACCGAUGGCGAAGGCAGCCAUCUGGACCGACACUGACGCUGAGGCGCGAAAGCGUGGGGGAGCAAACAGG